ACCGCCAUGUCGCUCCCUUUCGUGACAUAUUUGCAAAUUUAUUUAAUUGACUUGACCGAAUUGCAAUCACUUGGCAUGCGCUCUAAAGCAGUCUUGAACAGCCUGACCAAUGCAUGAUGUUCAUGAAGCAUUUGCUGUAGAUCUUGGAGAAUUGCUCUCUUCGUAGCUGUGUUGAUCCCUUGACGCCUGUCAAGUUGUUCUUCCAUAUUUCCCACAUUUCAAGAAUUUUUUCUGUGCAUCUUUUGUAGGUUGCAAUGAUCCAAUGCGAUGGUAAUAGGAUUUUCAUUCAAGCACUUUGUGGUAAACGACAUUCUUUGUUUUUUGGUCAGGCGCAAGAACAAAUAAAG
This 347-nucleotide long non-coding RNA is filed under the name Drosophila guanche. Lineage: Eukaryota; Metazoa; Arthropoda; Insecta; Diptera; Drosophilidae. The record is from RNAcentral.